RNAcentral lists this ribosomal RNA (1063 nucleotides) under Acinetobacter schindleri NIPH 900. Its description in RNAcentral is "bacterial SSU rRNA". It matches the Rfam family "Bacterial small subunit ribosomal RNA", at positions 466 to 1528 of the family's 1533-position model. Lineage: Bacteria; Pseudomonadati; Pseudomonadota; Gammaproteobacteria; Moraxellales; Moraxellaceae. The record is from RNAcentral.
GAGUGGACGUUACUCGCAGAAUAAGCACCGGCUAACUCUGUGCCAGCAGCCGCGGUAAUACAGAGGGUGCGAGCGUUAAUCGGAUUUACUGGGCGUAAAGCGUGCGUAGGCGGCUUUUUAAGUCGGAUGUGAAAUCCCUGAGCUUAACUUAGGAAUUGCAUUCGAUACUGGAAAGCUAGAGUAUGGGAGAGGAUGGUAGAAUUCCAGGUGUAGCGGUGAAAUGCGUAGAGAUCUGGAGGAAUACCGAUGGCGAAGGCAGCCAUCUGGCCUAAUACUGACGCUGAGGUACGAAAGCAUGGGGAGCAAACAGGAUUAGAUACCCUGGUAGUCCAUGCCGUAAACGAUGUCUACUAGCCGUUGGGGCCUUUGAGGCUUUAGUGGCGCAGCUAACGCGAUAAGUAGACCGCCUGGGGAGUACGGUCGCAAGACUAAAACUCAAAUGAAUUGACGGGGGCCCGCACAAGCGGUGGAGCAUGUGGUUUAAUUCGAUGCAACGCGAAGAACCUUACCUGGCCUUGACAUACUAAGAACUUUCCAGAGAUGGAUUGGUGCCUUCGGGAACUUAGAUACAGGUGCUGCAUGGCUGUCGUCAGCUCGUGUCGUGAGAUGUUGGGUUAAGUCCCGCAACGAGCGCAACCCUUUUCCUUAUUUGCCAUCGGGUAAUGCCGGGAACUUUAAGGAUACUGCCAGUGACAAACUGGAGGAAGGCGGGGACGACGUCAAGUCAUCAUGGCCCUUACGGCCAGGGCUACACACGUGCUACAAUGGUCGGUACAAAGGGUUGCUACCUCGCGAGAGGAUGCUAAUCUCAAAAAGCCGAUCGUAGUCCGGAUCGCAGUCUGCAACUCGACUGCGUGAAGUCGGAAUCGCUAGUAAUCGCGGAUCAGAAUGCCGCGGUGAAUACGUUCCCGGGCCUUGUACACACCGCCCGUCACACCAUGGGAGUUUGUUGCACCAGAAGUAGGUAGUCUAACCGCAAGGAGGACGCUUACCACGGUGUGGCCGAUGACUGGGGUGAAGUCGUAACAAGGUAGCCGUAGGGGAACCUGCGGCUGGAUCACCU